GAAAAAAAAAACCCUCUAGCUUUCGUUCCAUAUACUAGUGUCUCUAUACUGCCUCUUUCUUCAUCCCUUUACUCUCUAAUCCUGUCUCUUCUCCACUCCACAGCUUUCCACUAUUGCCAUUGCGCCACCGUGACCACCAGUGAGCCACCUGCAUCGUCUUCACCUACGUGCUUCUGCUACCUGGGCCCCUACUUUUGCCAAAGUUGAAACCCCAUUGGGUAUCUUACAAUCUUCAUCUCCUCUCUCUCUCUCUCUCAAACAAUCUGCCUCUCAACCUCAAUCUCUUUCUCUCUAUCUUACCCAAUUUCAAAACCCUAACAUCGUCUAGCUUAUUCUAAUGAUGGGUCAGAUUCCACCGUUUUGAAGCUUCUUUUUUCUUUUUUUUUUACCUCAACAACUGUGAAUUUGUUGAAAUGGCAGUUCUUUGCUUGUAAUUUUGUCUCUAGAGAGUGCUCUACUGUAUGGAAGUGUUCAAUUAGGGUUUGUUUUGGUGUAACUGUCGUUGUCGGGGUGACUAUCUGAGAAAUCUAGGGUUCGUGAAAGUUGUUUGAUUGAUGUGUAGAUAUGGUUGUCAUGGCUUCGCAUUUCAAGUGGCACUGGAAUUUCAGUUAUUAUGAUGAUUUUUGAUGUUGCUGAGUGAGUUUCGAGCCAGUGCUUUUGAUUUUUGAUUUUUGUCGUUAUUGUGCAAUGAAAUAGGAAGGUGGAGAUGCCUCCUUCUCCAGUAAUGAGGUGUUCCCUUGUGAGGGAGAUCCAAGGGGAUAAUCACAGAAGAGGGCGCAGUCUCGAGGGCGAGAUACUCCUCAGGGAGAAAAAUGACGAUCUUGCUCCAUUCAAUGAGAUGGAGACCAGAGAAAGAGACAGUUUCUUACUUCCAUCAAACGAUGAUUUUGAAGAUACAUUCAAUAAGUUUCCAUUCUAUUGAAAUUGGGUUUUGUGGGUUUCUUCUAUUGGUAAGUAUGGAAUUUAGAGUUUUGUUGUUUCCUCUGGUUUGGGGGCUAGGGUUCAGUGUUAAAAGCUCAGUCUUUUAAAUUUGAGGUUAUAGUUUCAUUCAUGAGGUUAGCUACUUUGUGCAAAUAUUUUAGGUUUGUACCCAAUUUACCCACCCAAUGGGGCUAAGCUGGGUGUAUUUUGUUGUGCUUAUUUCCUAUGGCUUUUGAUUUGCUUUAAACAACCAUGAAAUUGAGAUACUUGUCAGAUUACAAGCUUGGAAUGAAUCACAAAAUAAGAAAGGAAGACAAGGUUCAAUAUCACUUCUCUUCUCAUAUUAUGUAUAUAUAUUUAUUUCUUCAUAAACAUAUCUUUAUAGCAAUUUUAUUGAUUUCUUCAUGCUCAUUACAUUGGUGGUGCUGGGUUUAUGGAAUACUAAUGAAAUGAUGCAGUCUACCUUGAUAUGUUCCAAUUAAUAUAGUUCCUUUAUUUCGUAAUUACUUCUAGGAAUAUGGUCACUCAAUGGCUCUUAUUUUAUUUUUGGUGUUGGUAAUCAGGUGCCUAUGAUGAUGAAGAAGCUGCUGCUGCUUAUGCUUAUUUAUGAUUUGGCUACAUUGAAAUAUUGGGGUCCAUAAACCAUUCUCAACUUUCCGGAAAAGCAGUGCUUUUUCUCGAGGAGUGUCAAAAUAUAGAGGAGUUGCAAGACAUCAUCAUAAUGGAAGAUGGGAAGCAAGGAUUGGCAUAGUUUUUGGCAACAAAUACUUCUAUCUUGGGAUAUAUGACAAGAAAUGCAACAGGGUUAGUUACUCCAGCUAUUGCCGCGGGUUUAGGUGACAUACAUUGGGCACCCUCAUCUCUGUGAUAGGAGCAAGUGGAUUUGCUACAGAUGCUGUUGCAACUGCUAUAGGAAUUGUUGUCAGUAAUUUUAGAUAAUCUCUUAAUAGUUGUCGAUAUGUUUAGAAAGUUAGAUAUGCAUAAUUUUGGAUGGUUUAAACUUUUUGUACAGUUUAAGAACUUAAGGAUAUAGUUUUCGAGUGUUUGGAAUGUA
This is a non-coding RNA of Camellia sinensis, 1975 nucleotides long. The record is from RefSeq and is a predicted model, not a curated record. NCBI's taxonomy places the organism in Eukaryota, Viridiplantae, Streptophyta, Magnoliopsida, Ericales, Theaceae.